Molecule: ribosomal RNA, 460 nt
Filed under: uncultured bacterium
Lineage: Bacteria
Description: partial 16S ribosomal RNA
Rfam family: Bacterial small subunit ribosomal RNA
Source: RNAcentral
CUACGGGUGGCUGCAGUAAGGAAUAUUGGACAAUGGUCGGAAGACUGAUCCAGCCAUGCCGCGUGAAGGAUGAAGGCGCUCAGCGUUGUAAACUUCUUUUGUACAGGAACAAAAUGCGACCUGCGGGUUGUACUGAGGGUACUGUAAGAAUAAGCACCGGCUAACUCCGUGCCAGCAGCCGCGGUAAUACGGAGGGUGCAAGCGUUAUCCGGAAUCACUGGGUUUAAAGGGUGCGUAGGCGGUCUGAUAAGUCAGUUGUGAAAUUCCCUCGCUUAACGAGUGGGACUGCGAUUGAUACUGUUGGACUUGAAUCAGGUUGAGGUAGGCGGAAUGUGGCAUGUAGCGGUGAAAUGCAUAGAUAUGCCAUAGAACACCAAUUGCGAAGGCAGCUUGCUGGGCUUUGAUUGACGCUGAGGCACGAAAGCGUGGGGAGCAAACAGGAUUAGAUACCCCCGUAGUC